Molecule: long non-coding RNA, 454 nt
Filed under: Nicotiana benthamiana
Lineage: Eukaryota; Viridiplantae; Streptophyta; Magnoliopsida; Solanales; Solanaceae
Description: long non-coding RNA (NBEN_LNC033632)
Source: RNAcentral
GUCUUGUAAAAGCAGCCACAGGUUGAAAAGUGCUUUAGGUCGAGCAGGAUUCUGCAUGAUUAGGUUCUUCCAAGGUACUCUAGGAGCCUCUCCAAUCUGUUGAAGAUAGAGCAUUCUGAUAGAACAGUCAGGUUUAUGUAACAGUUGAUAUUGUUGCAGCAGAACAAUGCCUUCAAUGAUCUUCCGAACCAUCCAACUAGCUUGUUUAGGUACAUUGAUGGUCUCCAACUGUUGUUGUUUGAUAUAAACUGUAUGAAUCCACUUCACUCAUAGGACAUCCUUCUUGUGUGCCAAAUCCCAGCUUAGUUUUGCAACAGCAGCCUUGUUCCAUAGUAGGAGAUUAGUCAAGUUUAAGCCUCCAGCAGACUUUGGCAGACAGAGUUUUUCCCAAGCCACAUAGGCUUUCCUAGUUACAUUAACUGAGCCAGACCAUAUGUAGGAUCUACAUAUUGCU